AAUGCGUUUCGGCUUGUGGCCUUCAUUGGACCCUGAUGAAGGCCACAAGCCAAAACGCGUUGG
This 63-nucleotide microRNA precursor is filed under the name Oreochromis niloticus (Nile tilapia). Its description in RNAcentral is "microRNA oni-mir-4585 precursor". Lineage: Eukaryota; Metazoa; Chordata; Actinopteri; Cichliformes; Cichlidae. The record is from miRBase by way of RNAcentral.